This 178-nucleotide small nuclear RNA is filed under the name Macaca fascicularis (crab-eating macaque). RNAcentral describes it as "U2 spliceosomal RNA (ENSMFAG00000053641.1)". It matches the Rfam family "U2 spliceosomal RNA". Rfam says of the family: U2 is a small nuclear RNA (snRNA) component of the spliceosome (involved in pre-mRNA splicing). The record is from Rfam by way of RNAcentral. Lineage: Eukaryota; Metazoa; Chordata; Mammalia; Primates; Cercopithecidae.
AUCGCUUCGGCCUUUUGGCUAAGAUCAAGUGUAGUAUCUGUUCUUAUCAGUUUAUCUGAUACGUCCUCUAUCCGAGGACAAUAUAUUAAAUGGAUUUUUGAGCAGGAGAUGGAAUAGGAGCUCCGUCCACUCCACGCAUCGACCUGGUUGCAGUACCUCCAGGAACGGUGCACUUCCG